This is a long non-coding RNA of Vespa velutina, 2297 nucleotides long. RefSeq lists it as uncharacterized. The transcript has 3 exons. Lineage: Eukaryota; Metazoa; Arthropoda; Insecta; Hymenoptera; Vespidae. The record is from RefSeq and is a predicted model, not a curated record.
UCUCUCUCUCUCUCUCUCUCUCUCUCUCUUUCACUCAACACACUCUCUAAGUAAAAAACGCAAUCGAUCGGCAGAACACUAGCCGGUUUAAAACGCUUCGCACCGAGAAUUUAUCGUCGAUAAAGGGAACGAAGCAAUUAGCGGCCGACGUGUGCCUAAGGAUAGAGUAAAAAGUGAAGGGACAGAAGAGCUGUAAAGGAAGGACGAAGAGAAAGACGACAACGACGACAACGACGACAACGACGACGACGACGACGACAACGACGACAACGACGGCGACGACGACGACGGCGACGAAGAAGAAAAAGAAGAAGAAGAAGAAGAAGAAGAAGAUAGAAGAGAAAGAGAAAGAGAAAGAGGAAGAGGAAGAGGAGAAGGAGAAGAUGCAGAAGAAGAAGGAGGGGGAGGAGGAAGAACUCACGUAUGUGGAGCGCAGCAUCCAAGCCAAGAGAAGAACACGCUCGAUAAAUCAAGACUCCUCCGGGCUCUCUACGCCAGUGGGGCAGCAGUUCGAGGAACUCUGCAGAAGAAGACCGAUUAUAAACUCUCGUGUUGCUUGAUUUAUCUUUUUUUUUUCUUUUUCUUUUUUUUUCUUCGCUUAACAUCUUCGACAAAUUUGCUUAACCGUAGAUUAGGUGCAGCCUAGAGUACGAGUGUUGGUCGUCAUUGGACGAUUGUAUAAAAGGAAGAAAAGAACAAAUAUAAAUUAAAAAAAAAAAGAAAAAAAAAAGAAAAAAAAUAGAAGAAAUAAAGAAAGGAAAAAAAAAAGAAAGAAAUUUAGAAAGAUUAGAAAGCCAAGAAGAAGAUUAAGUGAGAUAGACGAUAAGCAAAUUCGUUUAAGAAACGAUCGAACGAUGCAGUACGAAUAAUUAAUGAAUGAAUGAAUGAAUGAAUUAAUGAAUGAAUGAAUUAAUUAAUGAAUGAAUGAAAUGUUUCACACGUAAUCACGGUCGCUGAAGCUGUUACAAGCUUUUGCAAAUUGGAGAGAGAGAGAGAAGGAGAGAGAGAGAGAGAAAGAAAAAGCAAGAAGAAGAGAAAGAGAGAGAGAGAGAGAGAGAGAGAGAUAGAGACAGAGAAACUUGUCUCUCUUCGAAUGUACUUACGACGAUCGCCGAUCUCGAAGGUACGCACAGAUUCACUAAUUGCAGAUCGUUUCGAUCCUCCUGCACCGUAGUCCUCCCUUUCGAUCUAUCCUGAAAGUCCACGGAAAUCUCUUUAUUCGAGAAUGAAGUUUACGUCGACGUCCCAUAAAAAUUCCUAAUUUCAAUGAUCAUUCGUAAAAUCAUUUCGAACGAAAUCAUCGGAUUGAUAUAGUUUCGAUUUAAAUACGUAAGGGCACGUUGAUUAAUCCUUGAAAAAAGAAAAGAAAAGAAGAAAAAAAAAGAAAAGAGAACGAUCGGAAUAAAGGAUAAGGAUAAGAUAAGAAAUGAAAUAAAAAUAAUACAAAAUAGAAAAGAAAAGAUAGAAAAGAAAAGAAAAGAAAAGCAUGGCGGCUCUUGAUAGAGGACAUACUUGUAGAGGAGACCAUCGAGGUACUAAUGAUCCAACCUAACCGUGAGUUACAUCAACGGUGGCCAGUGUCUUGUAAGUUGCUAAGUGAAAAUACGCGUAGAUCCUUUGGAGAUACAAGAGAUCCUCUUUCUCUUCUCUCCGUCUUCCUCUAUUUCCAUGCAAGAGAAAGAAAGAGAUAAAAGGAAGAAGAAGAAGAAGAAGAAGAAGAAGAAGAAGAAGAAGAAGAAGUAGAAGAAGAAGAAGAAGAAGAAGCAGUAAACGGCGUAGGCAUAAUCCUCGCGAGUCCUAUGCCCUUCCUCCUUUUUCCCUUCGGUCCUACCUCUACGUACACAUAAACAAGAAAUACCUACACGUAUAUCAUGUACAACGACUUCAAACUCGCUUUUUAAAUGUAUAUGUGUACGUCUGUGUACGUCUCUGUUCGUGUAUAUAUGUGGUAUGUGCGUGUAUGCGUGGCAUGGCGUGGCUAAUCCUAAUACCAGGACCCUGAAACGCCGCACGGCCCAUUGGACAAAGGACCCAUGACGACGCCUAACCCUGGAUACACCACCGGUCGCCAUUUAUUUAUUUCACCCGCCAGCACCUCACUCUUUUUUUAAGAUAUUACACUUACACAUCUCCCGUUUUAUUUAUUUACGAUCGCCGCCACGACAUUGGCGUAACCUUUUUAUUUUUUUUGUAUUUUGUCUUCUUCUUCUCUUUCCUUUCCUUUCCUUCUUUCUUUCUUCCAUGCGUUCUCGUUCGUUCGUUCGUUCGCUCGCUAUCUAAAGCUACUUUUUUCUUUU